GACGAACGCUGGCGGCGUGCUUAACACAUGCAAGUCGAACGGAAAGUCCCUGCUGUUGUUGGGUACUCGAGUGGCGAACGGGUGAGUAACACUGGAUUAACCUGCCCUUGACUGUGUGAUAACUUCAGGAAACUGUGGGUAAUACUGGAUAGUAGCGCCUGCUGCUUGUUGUGGGUUGGAAAUUUUCGGCGGGUGGGAAUGGACUCGCGGCUAAUCGGCUUGUUGGUGGGGUAGUUGGUUGCUAAGGCAUUGACGGGUAGCCGGCCUGAGAAGGUGACAGGCCACAGUGGGACUCGGGUGCGGGCCAGAGUCCUACGGGAGGCAGCAGUGAGGAAUAUAGCAAGAUGCGCGGAAGCCUGAUGCAGCAACUCCGCGUGCUGGAUGACGGCCUUAGGGUUGUAAACCGCUUUCGCCUGUGACGAAGAGUGAGUGACGGUAAUGGGUAAAGAAGCACCGGCUAACUACGUG
This 468-nucleotide ribosomal RNA is filed under the name uncultured bacterium. RNAcentral's name for it is "partial 16S ribosomal RNA". It matches the Rfam family "Bacterial small subunit ribosomal RNA", at positions 28 to 507 of the family's 1533-position model. The record is from RNAcentral.